The sequence is a regulatory RNA element, 120 nucleotides long. It matches the Rfam family "Ribosomal protein L10 leader". From Rfam's summary of the family: This family is a putative r-protein leader autoregulatory structure found in B. subtilis and other low-GC Gram-positive bacteria. The record is from Rfam.
UAAAUAAUUAUGAUCUUACCGAAGACUCAGGUGGCUUUAGCCUUAAACAUGCCUGCCGAGGAGAAGUAUAAAAACUUUCUCUCUGUGUCUUGGUGGACAUAGAGUUUUUUUAUUAGAAAA